RNAcentral lists this ribosomal RNA (506 nucleotides) under uncultured bacterium. RNAcentral describes it as "partial 16S ribosomal RNA". It matches the Rfam family "Bacterial small subunit ribosomal RNA", at positions 30 to 523 of the family's 1533-position model. The record is from RNAcentral.
AUUGAACGCUGGCGGCAGGCUUAACACAUGCAAGUCGAGCGGUAACAGAGAGAAGCUUGCUUCUCUGCUGACGAGCGGCGGACGGGUGAGUAAUGCCUAGGAAUCUGCCUAGUAGUGGGGGAUAACUUGCCGAAAGGUAAGCUAAUACCGCAUACGUCCUACGGGAGAAAGGAGGGGACCUUCGGGCCUUUCGCUAUUAGAUGAGCCUAGGUCGGAUUAGUUAGUUGGUGAGGUAAUGGCUCACCAAGACCGCGAUCCGGAACUGGUCUGAGGGGAGGAUCAGUCACACUGGAACUGAGACACGGUCCAGACUCCUACGGGAGGCAGCAGUGGGGAAUAUUGGACAAUGGGGGGAACCCUGAUCCAGCCAUGCCGCGUGUGUGAAGAAGGUCUUAGGAUUGUAAAGCACUUUAAGUUGGGAGGAAGAGCAGUUAACUAAUAUUUGACUGUUUUGACGUUACCGACAGAAUAAGCACCGGCUAACUUCGUGCCAGCCGCCGCAGUAA